GGUCAAGUGAAUAAGCGCAUGUGGUGGAUGCCUAGGCGGCAUAAGGCGAUGAAGGACGUAGUAAUCUGCGAUAAGCUUCGGUGAGUUGAUAAACAAACUUUGACCCGGGGAUUUCCGAAUGAGUGAACUCAGUCUACAUAAGUAGAUUAUCUCCAUCUGAAUAUAUAGGAUGGUAGAAGCAAACCUGGAGAACUGAAACAUCUAAGUACCCAGAGGAAAAGAAAUCAAUUGAGAUUUCCUUAGUAGCGGCGAGCGAAAAGGAAACAGCCCAGUUAUUUUAAUCCACAUUUUAACUAAUAAAACAAUCUGGAAAGGUUGGCCAAAGAAGGUGAUAGCCCUGUAUGUGAAAGUUUUAGUGUGGUGGAUAACGAUGAGUAGAGCGGGACACGAGAAAUCUUGCUUGAACAUGGGGGGACCAUCCUCCAAGGCUAAAUACUCUAUGCCGACCGAUAGUGAACUAGUACUGUGAAGGAAAGGCGAAAAGAACCCCUGUUAGGGGAGUGAAAUAGAACCUGAAACCGUGUGCGUACAAGCAGUGGGAGCCCUUUCGGGGGUGACUGCGUACCUUUUGUAUAAUGGGUCAGCGACUUACUUUUUGUAGCAAGCUUAACCGUAAUAGGGUAGGCGAAGGGAAACCGAGUCUUAAUAGGGCGUUUAGUUGCAAGGAGUAGACCCGAAACCGGGUGAUCUAUCCAUGGCCAGUGUGAAGGUGGGGUAAUUCCUACUGGAGGCACGAACCCACUUAUGUUGAAAAAUGAGGGGAUGAGCUGUGGAUCGGAGUGAAAGGCUAAUCAAACCCGGAGAUAGCUGGUUCUCCGCGAAAGCUAUUUAGGUAGCGCCUCGUGUAUUACUGUUGGGGGUAGAGCACUGUUAUGGCUAGGGGUCCAUCCCGGAUUACCAAACCAUUGCAAACUCCGAAUACCAACAAGUAGAGCACGGGAGACAGACUGCGGGUGCUAACGUCCGUAGUCAAGAGGGAAACAACCCAGACCAACAGCUAAGGUCCCAAAAUUAUGACUAAGUGGAAAACGAAGUGGGAAGGCCCAGACAUCCAGGAGGUUGGCUUAGAAGCAGCCAUCCUUUAAAGAAAGCGUAAUAGCUCACUGGUUGAGUCGGCCUGCGCGGAAGAUUUAACGGGGCUCAAGUCAUAUACCGAAGCUUUGGACUCUAGUUUACUAGAGUGGUAGCGGAGCGUUCUGUACGUCACUGAAGGUGUAUCGUGAGAUAUGCUGGAGAUAUCAGAAGUGCGAAUGCUGACAUAAGUAACGAUAAUGUAGGUGAGAACCCUACACGCCGAAAACCUAAGGUUUCCUCCGCAACGUCAAUCGGCGGAGGGUUAGUCGGUACCUAAGGCGAGGCCGAAAGGCGUAGUCGAUGGAAAACAGGUUAAUAUUCCUGUACUCCUUUAUAUUGCGAUGGGGGGACGGAGAAGGUUAAAUCAGCCAGUCAACGGUUAUACUGGUUUAAGCAGGUAGGAAUGUUUCUUUGGUAAAUCCGGGAAGCUUUAUUCCGAGACGCGACGACGAAGUUUUUUCUUCGGGAAAAACGAAGUGAUCUAUACCAUACU
This 1567-nucleotide ribosomal RNA is filed under the name Gammaproteobacteria bacterium. RNAcentral describes it as "partial 23S ribosomal RNA". It matches the Rfam family "Bacterial large subunit ribosomal RNA", at positions 1 to 1606 of the family's 2925-position model. The record is from RNAcentral. Lineage: Bacteria; Pseudomonadati; Pseudomonadota; Gammaproteobacteria.